UAGCAACCAAUCAGAUCGCUUCUUUCAGAUUUCAGAAGCCUUUAUUUUUAAAUGAAAGAAGCAAUCUUAUUGGUUGCUACGGGCAACUGGUCAAUUUUUCCUCUGCACUGGUUUUAAUAAAUGUGUGCCCGAUACAUAUAUGUAAAGGGGAAGAAAUGUGCUGUUAUUAAAAAAAAUAACUUAUAUCCCUGUAGAGUUCUUCUCCCCCGUGGAUCUGAUCACCUAGUUUCCUCUCUGAGCGAUAACCCUACUGUUGCCAGGCAACAGAGCACACACUCUCCCACAAUCCCCCUUGCUUAUAAGCACAGUGGAGACAAACCGCCAUUAACUUCAGGAGACUGCAGGUGAACUGAGCAUGUGUUACCCAUCCAUAGUGGGUCGUAACUAAGGGCAACAAUUAUCAAAACAAUGCAGGUGAUUGAUGCCCCGUGAGAAGGUGAACGUGACAUAAACCCUCGUCAGCUGCAAAAAAGGAACCGCGAGACAGGUGACUGAUGCCCCGUGAGAAGGUGAACGUGACGUAUACACUCGUUAGCUGCAAAAAGGAACAGCGAGACAGGACAUCUUAUGGACCGUUAUUUUACCGAUAGAACCUGAGCUCUGGAGGAGGCGUGGCCAGCUAAUUAAGGAUCCUUAAAUACAGCUGCUUCAGUGCAGUUCAAGCUCCAUGCAUGAGUGAGGACAGCUGUGCAGCAGACUUUUGGAGGGAAACUGUGACCAUAUUACCAGAUGUCUGCCCCAACCGGGAGGAGCUGCUAUUGGAAAGUUAAGUAUCUAGAUUUAUCACUUCUGCCAUGUCAUUGUUGUAUAACACUCUAUCUUUAUACUUCAUCCAGAAGGUGUUCAUUAUAUACCUUGUCUGUUUUUGUGAUAACCGUUAUGGUCAGCCCCAUCUCUAGUACCGGCAGGUUAGAUAGUGGCUAUCUAUGCAUGACUUGUUCCAUUGCUAACUUGGGGGAGUUAUCAAUGUGGCACCAUGUGUAGAUAGCCAUAAUAACUAGUUAAACCUAAAGAAUCAGUUAGUGAAACUGUAGAUUAGUCACCUAUUGUAAUAAAUCUUUUCAAAAUGGCAAUUUACCAUAUAAUUCUAUGGUGAAUGUCAGCCCCAUCUCUAGUACUAGCAGGUUAGAUAGUAGCUACCUAUGCAUGACUUGUUGCAUUGCUAACUUGGGGGAGUUAUCAAUGUGGCACCAUGUGUGGAUAGCCAUAAUAACUAGUUAACCCUAAAUAAUCCAGUUAUUUCUGUUAUUGUAAUAUACUAUUCAGCAUCAGUAGAACAAUAGUCAGUGCCUACUAAAUGAAGGUAGGAAUUAAUUAGGAAAGUCCUAGCUGUAAGUAUGGCUGAUACCUUGACUGAGGAUUUGCAGCCACUAUCAUUGUUUGUUUUUUUACAUGCAGCUUUUUUAUCUUUUGUUCGUCUUUGUUGUUGUUUUUCAAGUUGCUUCAUUUUCUAACAGAUUUUGUGUCUUUCCCACAAGUAUCUAGGUAGGUUUUUUUUUUUUUUUUAGAAUUCUUUUCCUGUAGAGCAAGAAUAUUUGAUGCUGCCUGCUAGCCCUGGACACCAAUACCCAAGAAAGAGUGAGACGACCAUCUGCCCAGACUGGAAGGAGCUACGAUGAGAUGGUAAGGCCUAUGCCAUUGACUUGAUCUAAUAGCCUGUGUCUUUGUGCUUCAUCCAGAAGCUGUUCUAUUGUGUAAGACAACCCACACUGUCAGACCAAUAAGUUAUUAACUUUGACCUAUGUCAUAUUCUUGUUCUAGAAGUAUCUAUCAGUUUGCUUUCUCCAGGUAUUCCUUAUCUUCCCUGGCUGGAAUUGUGGACCUACACGUAAGUAAAUAAAAGCAUGUCUGUUCUUGUCAAAAUGUGUUAUAUUUAGGGGGUAAUUUGUUUAAUGACUGUCUCUUGCCUUUGCCAGUCGCCGCCUACCGUGGCAGUCUUUGCCAAAUUUGGCAAUUUACCAUAUAAUUCUAUGGUGAAUGUCAGCCACAUUCCUAGUACCUGCAGGUUAGAUAGUAGCUACCUAUGCAUGACUUGUUGCAUUGCUAACAUGGGGGAGUUAUCAAUGUGGCACCAUGUGUAGAUAGCCAUAAUAACUAGUUAACCCUCAGUUAUUUCUGUUAUUGUAACAUACUAUUCAGCAUCAGUAGAACAAUAGUCAGUGCCUAUUAAAUGAAGGUAGGAAUUAAUUAGGAAAGUCCUAGCUGUAAGUAUGGCUGAUACCUUGACUGAGGAUUUGCAGCCACUAUCAUUGUUUUUAACAUGCUGCUUUUUUAUCUUUUGUUCGUCUCUUUGUUGUUGUUUUUUCAAGUUGCUUCAUUUUCUAACAGAUUUUGUGUCUUUCCCACAAGUAUCUAGGUAGGUUUUUUUUUUUUUAGAAUUCUUUUCCUGUAGAGCAAGAAUAUUUGAUGCUGCCUGCUAGCCCUGGACACUAAUACCCAAGAAAGAGUGAGACGCCCAUCUGCCCAGACUGGGAGGAGCUGCGUUAAAACGAGCAAGAAUAUUUGAUGCUGCCUGCUAGCCCUGGACACAAAUACCCAAGAAAGAGUGAGACGACCAUCUGCCCAGACUGGAAGGAGCUACGAUGAGACGGUAAGGCCUAUGCCAUUGACUUGAUCUAAUAGCCUGUGUCUUUGUGCUUCAUCCAGAAGCUGUUCUAUUGUGAAAGACAACCCACACCUGGGAGGAGCUGCUGUCAGACCAAUAAGUUACUAACUUUGACCUAUGUCAUAUUCUUGUUCUAGAGGUAUCUAUCAGUUUGCUUUCUCCAGGUAUUCCUUAUCUUCCCUGGCUGGAAUUGUGGACCUACACGUAAGUAAAUAAAAGCAUGUCUGUUCUUGUCAAAAUGUGUUAUAUUUAGGGGGUAAUUUGUUUAAUGACUGUCUCUUGCCUUUGCCAGUCGCCGCCUACCGUGGCAGUCUUUGCCAAAUUUGGCAAUUUACCAUAUAAUUCUAUGGUGAAUGUCAGCCACAUUCCUAGUACCUGCAGGUUAGAUAGUAGCUACCUAUGCAUGACUUGUUGCAUUGCUAACAUGGGGGAGUUAUCAAUGUGGCACCAUGUGUAGAUAGCCAUAAUAACUAGUUAACCCUCAGUUAUUUCUGUUAUUGUAACAUACUAUUCAGCAUCAGUAGAACAAUAGUCAGUGCCUACUAAAUGAAGGUAGGAAUUAAUUAGGAAAGUCCUAGCUGUAAGUAUGGCUGAUACCUUGACUGAGGAUUUGCAGCCACUAUCGUUGUUUUUAACAUGCUGCUUUUUAAUCUUUUGUGUUUGUUCGGCUCUUUGUUUUUCAAGUUGCUUCAUUUUCUAACAGAUUUUGUCUUUCUCACAAGUAUCUAGGUAGGUUUUUUUUAGAAUUCUUUUCCUGUAGAGCAAGAAUAUUUGAUGCUGCCUGCUAGCCCUGGACACUGAUACCCAAGAAAGAGUGAGAUGAGCAUCUUACCAGACUGGAAGGAGCUACGAUGAGACGGUAAGACCUAUGCCAUUGACUUGUUCUAAUAGCCUGUGUCUUCAUAUUUCUGUUCUAUUGUGUAAGACAACCCACACCUGGGAGGAGCUGCUGUCAGACCAAUAAGUUACUAACUUUGACCUAUCAGUUUGCUUUCUCCAGGUGUUGCUUAUCUUCCCUGGCUGGAAUUGUGGACCUACACGUAAGUAAUUGAAAUCAUGUCUGUUUUUUCAAAAUGUGUUCUAUUUAGGGGGUAACUUGUUUAAUUGCAUAAUUAAAUGACUUUCUGUCUCUUGCCUUUGCCAGUUGCUGCCUACCGUGGCAGUCUUUAUCAAAUUUGGCAAUUUACCAUAUAAUUCUAUGGUGAAUGUCAGCCCCAUUCCUAGUACCAGCUGGUUAGGUAGUAGCUACCUAUGCAUGACUUGUUGCAUUGCUAACUUGGGGGAGUUAUCAAUGUGGCACCAUGUGUCGAUAGCCUUAGUAACUAGUUAAACUUAAAGAAACAGUUAUUUCUGUUAUCGUCAUAUACUAUUCAGCAUCAGUAGAACAAAUAGUCAGUGCCUACUAAAUGAAGGUAAGAAUGUAUUAGGAAAGUCCUAGCUGUAAGUAUGGCUGAUACCUCGACUGAGGAUUUGCAGCCACUAUCAUUGUUGUUUUUAACAUGCAGCUUUUUUAUCUUUUGUGUUUGUUCUGCUCUUCAUUAUUGCUUCAUUUUCUAACAGCUUUUGUCUUUCUCACAAGUAUCUAGGUAGGUUUUUUUUAGAAUUCUUUUCCUGUAGAGCAAGAAUAUUUGAUGCUGUCUGCUAGCCCUGGACACUGAUACCCAAGAAAGAGUGAGAUGAGCAUCUUACCAGACUGGAAGGAGCUACGAUGAGACGAAGUAUCUAUCAGUUUGCUUUCUCCAGGUGUUACUUAUCUUCCCUGGCUGGAAUUAUGGACCUACACAUUUGGCAAGUUCAUUCUACUACAUGGUGUAGUAGUAGACCAUGGCAAGAACCUUAAACUUACUACCUUACCAGUCAUUGAAUCUACAUAAGACAAGACAAGACAUGACAUGACAUCUAGCAAAAAUAGUAUGGUAUGAGUUUAUUCUACUACCCGGUAUAGAAGACCAUGUAAUGAACAUUCAACAACUUCCUACCUUACCAUACUCAGCUCCAGACAUGCUAUUAGCAGAAGUCUUGACAUCUUGCCAAAAUCAUAUGAUCCUCACUUCUGCACUUUGUUCUGUGAAGUAAUCAACAGUUUCCACUAUGAAAAUCUCUGGCAACAUGAAAACCUGCCCGGGCUCCAUUGUCCCAGUUACAAAAGUUUAAACAUUUUUUUUUUCUUACAUAAAAUAUACAUGUCUUCUACUAAAUGUGUUUUUUUUUUUUUAACUUAU
Long non-coding RNA from Hyla sarda, 4827 nucleotides. RefSeq lists it as uncharacterized. The record is from RefSeq and is a predicted model, not a curated record. The transcript is spliced from 12 exons. NCBI's taxonomy places the organism in Eukaryota, Metazoa, Chordata, Amphibia, Anura, Hylidae.